UUGCGGUGGGUAAGUCUUGCACGACCAGCUCCCCUUGAAACUCCCCAGGGCCGGAAGGCAGCAAGGAUAGAGGGUCGUAGCGGUGCGAUGCAAGUAGCUUACCCACUU
Molecule: non-coding RNA, 108 nt
Rfam family: Bacteroidales small SRP
About the family: The non-coding component of the signal recognition particle in Bacteroides
Source: Rfam